Molecule: ribosomal RNA, 484 nt
Filed under: uncultured Exiguobacterium sp.
Lineage: Bacteria; Bacillati; Bacillota; Bacilli; Caryophanales
Description: bacterial SSU rRNA
Rfam family: Bacterial small subunit ribosomal RNA
Source: RNAcentral
AAGAACCUUACCAACUCUUGACAUCCCCCUGACCGGUACAGAGAUGUACCUUCCCCUUCGGGGGCAGGGGUGACAGGUGGUGCAUGGUUGUCGUCAGCUCGUGUCGUGAGAUGUUGGGUUAAGUCCCGCAACGGGCGCAACCCUUGUCCUUAGUUGCCAGCAUUAAGUUGGGCACUCUAAGGAGACUGCCGGUGACAAACCGGAGGAAGGUGGGGAUGACGUCAAAUCAUCAUGCCCCUUAUGAGUUGGGCUACACACGUGCUACAAUGGACGGUACAAAGGGCAGCGAAGCCGCGAGGUGGAGCCAAUCCCAGAAAGCCGUUCUCAGUUCGGAUUGCAGGCUGCAACUCGCCUGCAUGAAGUCGGAAUCGCUAGUAAUCGCAGGUCAGCAUACUGCGGUGAAUACGUUCCCGGGUCUUGUACACACCGCCCGUCACACCACGAGAGUUUGCAACACCCGAAGUCGGUGAGUAACCNAAGGAGC